AUACGUAGGGAGCGAGCGUUGUCCGGAAUUACUGGGUGUAAAGGGAGCAUAGGCGGGACUGCAAGGCAGAUGUGAAAUACCGGGGCUUAACCCCGGAGCUGCAUUUUAAACUGUGGUUUUUGAGUGUAGUAGAGGCAAGCCGGAUUCCUGGUGUAGCGGUGAAAUGCGUAGAUAUCAGGAGGAACACCGGUGGCGAAGGCGGCUUGCUGGGCUUUUACUGAAGCUGAGGCUCGAAAGCGUGGGUAGCAAACAGGAUUAGAUACCCUGGUAGUCCACGCCGUAAACGAUGAUUACUAGGUGUGGGGGGACUGACCCCUUCCGUGCCGCAGUUAACACAAUAAGUAAUCCACCUGGGGAGUACGGCCGCAAGGUUGAAACUCAAAUGAAUUGACGGGG
This 396-nucleotide ribosomal RNA is filed under the name uncultured bacterium. Its description in RNAcentral is "partial 16S ribosomal RNA". It matches the Rfam family "Bacterial small subunit ribosomal RNA", at positions 523 to 918 of the family's 1533-position model. The record is from RNAcentral.